This 75-nucleotide transfer RNA is filed under the name Markhamia cauda-felina. RNAcentral describes it as "tRNA-His". Lineage: Eukaryota; Viridiplantae; Streptophyta; Magnoliopsida; Lamiales; Bignoniaceae. The record is from RNAcentral.
CGCCUGUUGGCAUUCCAGCCUUCCUUCUCUUUCCUAUGUUUGUAUUAAUAUAUACAUUGCCAGAAUCAUUACAGA